Molecule: transfer RNA, 63 nt
Filed under: Polyphaga plancyi
Lineage: Eukaryota; Metazoa; Arthropoda; Insecta; Blattodea; Corydiidae
Description: tRNA-Pro
Source: RNAcentral
AAGGAAUAGUUUAUUUAAAAUAUUAAUUUUGGAGAUUAAUGAUAAGUGUAUCCUUUUCUUUGA